This is a non-coding RNA of Kogia breviceps (pygmy sperm whale), 2809 nucleotides long. NCBI's taxonomy places the organism in Eukaryota, Metazoa, Chordata, Mammalia, Artiodactyla, Physeteridae. The record is from RefSeq and is a predicted model, not a curated record.
CCCGAUACUUUUUAAAAUUAGUUUUUAAACUGAUAUUUAAUUCACAUAGCAUAGGAUUCACCACUUUACAGUAUAAUUCGGUAGGCUUUAGUAUAUUUACAAAUUGGGCAACCAUUACCACUAGCUAAUUCCUGAACAUUCUUAUCACCCUAAAAGGAAGCCCCAUACCUGUUAAUAGUCACUGUCAAUUCUUCCCUCUCCUCAGCUCCUUUCUGACUCCACUAUUUGUCUAUCCUGGACAUUUCAUAUAAAUGAAGUAUUUUGCGUCUGGCUUAUUUCACUUAACAUAGUGCCUUUAAAGUUCACCCAUAUUGCAGCAGAUAUCAACACCUCAUUCUUUUCCAUGGCUAAUAUUCCAUUAUACCUAUAUACCACAUUUUGUUUAUCCAUUCAUCAGUUGGUAGACUUUUAGGUUGUUUUCACUUUGGGCUAUUAUGAAUAAUGCUACUAGGAACAUUACUGUCUAAGGUUUUGUAUGAAUACAUGUUUUUAGUUCUCUUGCCUACAUACCUAGGAAUAGAAUUGCUGGGUCAUAUGAUUAACUUUAUGUUACUCUAUAUUUAACUUUUUGAGAAACCAUCAAACUAUUUUCCACAGCAGCUGCAUCAUUUUACAUUUCAACCACACCAGUAUAUGAGUGUCUCACUAUCUCAACAUCCUUACCAAAAUUUAUUUUCAGUGUUUUUGAUUCUGUUCAUCUUUGUAGGACUCAAUAAUUUCUAAAGCGUAUAAGGGGUUCUGAGGCUAAAAUGUUUGAGAAUUGUUUUUCUAACAAAUAACUUUAAAAAAACAUGAAAGCAUUUUUUGUAAAUAACAAGUUUAUAGAAACAGAGGACAGAUUAGUGGUUGCCAGAGGUGGGGAAGGAUGCAGGCAAAAUGGGUGAAGGUGGUCAAACAGUACAAACUUCCAGUUAUAAAGUAGAUAUGUACUGGGGACGUGAUGUACAGCAUGGUGACUAUAAUUAAUAAACACUGCAUUAUAUAUUUGAAAGUUGCUAAGAUAGUAGAUCUUAACAAGUUUUUAUCACGAGAAAAAACAUUUAAUUGUGUGGUGAUGGACGUUAACUAGACUUCUUGUGGUGAUCAUUUCACAAUAUAUACAUAUACUGAUUACAUCGUAUAGCUGAAACUAAUAUGUUAAAAAAAUAAACAUAAUAACACUAUGAAUUAACAAUAAUUUCACAAAGUUUUGUGAUACCGGGGUAAUCAAGCUUGCCUAGGACAGACACAAUUUACACCUUUGUACCAGCAUAACUAUUAAAAGUGUCUCCUUUAACUCUCAUUAUGCCCUGUUUAGAUGACAAAUUAUAUGAACACCCUGUAACAGAACUAUGUUCAGAUUUCCCCAGUUGCCUUAAAUAUAUCUUUUUACAAUAUGUUUAUUGAAAACAAUAUCCAACAUUGCAUUUGAUUGAGGUGUCUUUAAAAACUAUAUCAAUUCUCUCUUCCACUCCAUUUCUUUCAUGCUAGUUAUUUAUUGAAGAAACUGGGUAAUUUGUGGAAUUUCUUGUAUCCUUAGCUUGGCUGAUCAUAAAGUCUUGGUGUCUUAAUCUGUCUCUCUAUCCUUCCUAUUUCUUGCCAUUUUGUAGUUAGAUCUAGAAGUCUGAUUAGGUUUAGGGUCAAUUUUUGUGCAACAUGUUUCAUAGAUGGUGUGUAUAUACUGUUGCAUUACAUCAAGAGGCACGCGGUAUCUGGUUGUCUCACUUUUAGCGAUGUUAAGAUAAAUCGGUGGGUUCAGGUUUUGUUAGCUUGAUCCAGCUAUUAUAAGAUUCCCAUCAAUGUUCCACUUUGUAAUUCUAACAGCCAUGAAUGAUUGUUGCCUAGUCCCCGUGCUUCAUUGGGACCUGUGAACAGUAACUUUCUAAUUCUGCUAGUUCUGUGUCAUUUGUUGCCCUUACAAACUAUUUGGAUAUCCUGAAAUAUAUAGCAGAAUAAAUGCUUGAUUUUUUCCUUUUACCAAUUUUCAAAAAAAAGAGUUGGUUCCUUAGGUGAUCCAAGCAUGAAUGAUGAUUUUUUUCUUUGUUAGUAUUACUAUGAAUGAAUUAAUGGAUUUGUAUAUAUUAGAUUAUGUUUCAAUCCGUUCGUCAUUAUUUUUUUUUUAAGCCCAAACGGUUCCACUUUGGCCAAAGAGUGCCCCUUCCACCUUGCUCUUGGGUUCUUUCGACAUAACCUCAGGAGUAUUUGAUAGCUACUUUGCUUUCUGUCAUAAUAAAAUGUCACAAGCUCAUCUUACACAAUCCUUGCUUGCCCCCGUUCUAAAAUCAGUCAUUUCCUAAAGGAGUCCUGGUUCUUCUUAGUGGGCAAUGGCAUUUAGAUUAUGAAUUUGGAUACUAGGGCUGCUCAUAGCCAUUGGAUUUUCAUUGCUUCUUGGCCUUUUCAGUGGACACAGCUAGGAUAUAUGUAUUUUGUAGCUAGAGAAAAAUUAAUCAUGAAUUCAUACUACCAUUGCCAAUUCAAAUUUUUGCUUAUCGAAUUUACAUCUAAUUUCAUUGAUUUGAUAUCUGUUAUCUCUUUAUCUUUCACCGCAGACCUUGGUUUCUAACAACACUAAGAUACUUACCUGCUAUUUUAUAUACACACAUGUGUAAAAUAUACAUGUGACAGCAUCUAAUUAACAAUACCGCUAUUAUUACUAAGAGUUACUAUUACUAAAUGCAGUUUGAUUUCUUAGCCAUUCCUUUCUGUUCUUAGGAUAAGUCCCACUAAGGAUAUACAGUCAAAAUCAUGAGUUUUAAAGUCAGUUUCUUAUUUUUCCAUGCGGUUAUGCCAGUAACUUGAAAUAUACUUUGAUUCAUGACUUUCAUUUUCU